Molecule: long non-coding RNA, 919 nt
Organism: Cyprinus carpio (common carp)
Lineage: Eukaryota; Metazoa; Chordata; Actinopteri; Cypriniformes; Cyprinidae
Source: Ensembl
UCAGGAGCAAUUUGGUCUUAAUCCGGCCCUGACUACAACACUUUGCCCGCUCACCAAAUAACUGUGUUGGAGGCUAUAAAGGGACUCACAAAGGUACCCAACAUCACCUGAAUAAUGGGCUGAUCACUGAGAAGAAAAGAACAGAACCAAAGGGAUUUGGAUAAUAACGAUUUCAUCAGCCCUCUAAAACAGAACCAAAAAAAACAGACACCUUGAAAUCUCCAUGGCGGCUGGAGGAUGUGGAUAAGUGUGUGAUAGUUCACACUCUCCCAGUGUGCACUAAUAACAUUGCAAAGUGAUCUGAGAGUGCUGCGACUGAAGGAAAGAGGAUGGCACGCUAUUCUGAACCGCAGCACAGAAAUCAGGAAUAUCUUGAUGGGAUGCAGUGCAGUAGAAAUUCCUUUUGGAAAUCUAUCUGUAUACUGUGUGAAACCAAUAAUGAACUGACAAAACUGAUGUCAACAGUUACACAACGCUAAACGCCUCACCUGUAGCUUACACUAUGAGUAAGAGACCUCGUGCUAAACCCAAAUAUUAGGGUUGAGUGUUUCUCUCCCUUUUCCCAUGAUGCAGCCAGUGCUAACACCCUUUCCAUCAUUCUAGGCAUGUUUACAAGUGCUAAAGCCACAAGAUUGUCCAAAAGCUUAAAUCUUGUUUAAAGCAAAAUGCAUUCUUUUUUCUCGACAGGGUUGUUUUUUUUAUGUAUAAAUGUAAACUUUUCUAGAUAGACCUAUCAUGAACAGUAAGAUCAAGCUGUAAUAAUUCAUCAGUAGAAAACAAAUGUGAUUAAAGCAUUGUUUAAUAUCCAACAAUUGUACAAAAAAAAAACAAACCUCAGCAGCCCCAACCACUCCUAUGAAGUGUUGUCAAUUAUAAUCGGUCUAGCUAAACACUCUCAAAAAAUAUAACCUAUAUUUAU